CUCCUGGAAACGGGUGGUAAUGCCGGAUGUUCCACAUGAGCGCAUGCGAGUGUGGGAAAGGCUUUUUGCGGCAUGGGAUGGGGUCGCGUCCUAUCAGCUUGUUGGUGGGGUAACGGCCUACCAAGGCGUUGACGGGUAGCCGGCCUGAGAGGGCGACCGGCCACAUUGGGACUGAGAUACGGCCCAGACUCCUACGGGAGGCAGCAGUGGGGAAUAUUGCACAAUGGGCGCAAGCCUGAUGCAGCGACGCCGCGUGCGGGAUGGAGGCCUUCGGGUUGUAAACCGCUUUUGUUCAAGGGCAAGGCACGGUUUCGGCCGUGUUGAGUGGAUUGUUCGAAUAAGCACCGGCUAACUACGUGCCAGCAGCCGCGGUAAUACGUAGGGUGCAAGCGUUAUCCGGAUUUAUUGGGCGUAAAGGGCUCGUAGGCGGUUCGUCGCGUCCGGUGUGAAAGUCCAUCGCUUAACGGUGGAUCCGCGCCGGGUACGGGCGGGCUUGAGUGCGGUAGGGGAGACUGGAAAUUCCCGGUGUAACGGUGGAAUGUGUAGAUAUCGGGAAGAACACC
This 563-nucleotide ribosomal RNA is filed under the name uncultured Bifidobacterium sp. Its description in RNAcentral is "bacterial SSU rRNA". It matches the Rfam family "Bacterial small subunit ribosomal RNA", at positions 147 to 710 of the family's 1533-position model. The record is from RNAcentral. Lineage: Bacteria; Bacillati; Actinomycetota; Actinomycetes; Bifidobacteriales; Bifidobacteriaceae.